Molecule: ribosomal RNA, 433 nt
Filed under: uncultured bacterium
Lineage: Bacteria
Description: partial 16S ribosomal RNA
Rfam family: Bacterial small subunit ribosomal RNA
Source: RNAcentral
AACGAACGCUGGCGGCAUGCCUAACACAUGCAAGUCGAACGAGACCUUCGGGUCUAGUGGCGCACGGGUGCGUAACGCGUGGGAACCUGCCCUUAGGUUCGGAAUACCUCCCCGAAAGGGGUGCUAAUACCGGAUAAUGUCUUCGGACCAAAGAUUUAUCGCCUUUGGAUGGGCCCGCGUUGGAUUAGCUAGUUGGUAGGGUAAAAGCCUACCAAGGCGACGAUCCAUAGCUGGUCUGAGAGGAUGAUCAGCCACACUGGGACUGAGACACGGCCCAGACUCCUACGGGAGGCAGCAGUGGGGAAUAUUGGACAAUGGGCGAAAGCCUGAUCCAGCAAUGCCGCGUGAGUGAUGAAGGCCUUAGGGUUGUAAAGCUCUUUUACCCGGGAUGAUAAUGACGGUACCGGGAGAAUAAGCUCCGGCUAACUCCGUG